This 60-nucleotide microRNA precursor is filed under the name Ciona intestinalis (vase tunicate). RNAcentral's name for it is "microRNA cin-mir-4098 precursor". Lineage: Eukaryota; Metazoa; Chordata; Ascidiacea; Phlebobranchia; Cionidae. The record is from miRBase by way of RNAcentral.
AUCGCUCUGUUAUGCUUCGGUUAAGCGAUAUACGUUGUCACCGAAGCGUAACAGAGCGAU